Long non-coding RNA from Ostrea edulis (European flat oyster), 1763 nucleotides. RefSeq lists it as uncharacterized. Lineage: Eukaryota; Metazoa; Mollusca; Bivalvia; Ostreida; Ostreidae. The transcript is spliced from 2 exons. The record is from RefSeq and is a predicted model, not a curated record.
AGGUAAGUAAAAGAGUGCAACUGGCGAUGAGCCGUAAUCAGUUUAAAAUAAAACCUGAUUUUUGGGGGUGCACUUUUCAAUUAUGACAGCACCACGCACGAGGUAAUGGCGCCCUCCCCCCUAACGACAGAGACGAGUACUGACAUUAAAAGACAAAGUUCAAUUAAUCGAUGAAUUCGAUACAUUCUUGGAAUAAAACAAAAUCGUCAACAAUCCAGUUAUGUUUUCCAAAAGCAGGGUUUCCCCUUGUGGAAUUAUCGGAGCUCUCCGGCGAGUCAGACAGUGAUGAUAUGCAGUUAGUUAGCACAACUCGCCAUGCCCGGUCGAUCAUUCGGCAUUACAUCAGUUUCCGUUUCACAAAUUGAGACAGUUGAAAGUGAUACAUUUACGCCGAAAGCUGCAAAAGACAAAGAACAUGACCCGCGAACCAUGAAAAAUGGCCUAGCCCGGGAUAUUGAUAAUUUCUGUAUAUAAUAAUCUUCGGGAUAUAGGCUUUCUAGAAAUGUUUUUUUUUUUUUUUUUUUUAAUAUAUUCUAUACUUUUUUGUUAAUAUGACGUUGAAUAUUGUGGUGUUUAAUGUUAAAAAAUUAACAUUUCGGGAUACACGUCACAACAAUAAACCUCCAAUGACCAUGUACAAUGUACAUGAACCUAUAAAUCUCUGAAGUUAUAUGCACUCAAAUAGCUAGAAUGGCUUAUUCAAUGAUCAUAAUAAGCAUUUUUGACCAAAUUUGGGAAAUAGAAAUAAGAAAUAUUUUGGAAAUGAUGUUCAAAGCCGUGAUUGUUCAACUUUACUUUUGAAUUAUUUUUACUUGAAUUUUAAAAUACUGAAGUAAGAAGAAUAAAUAUAGUAUGUAGUCUAUUUACAUGGUGAAAGGAGUGAAUCAUUGGAACAAUUCUGUUUCAUAUCAUAUUUCAUAGUUUUUUAAUAUUUUUUUUGUUCGUAUUAAAACGACCGAGUAUCGAUAUCAAUGGUAACGAAAUAAGUUGACACCGCGUCUCGUCAAAACAUGUUCAAUUCGAAUUUACUCGGAAUUACACCUUCAACGAGCAUUUCCUGUGAAACCUGAUUAAAGAAAAAUUACUGUAGACACCUAAUAGUGAUUUGUACAGAAGCGAGCCCCGGCAGGAAUGAUGGCCUCUUUUGAAAUGCAGAUUUCAUGCCUUACUCCUACUGGGACUACAACUAACUUUGGACCUGGUCACUCGCAGAUACAGCAUGAAGUGUGCCCUCUUGAUGUACAUGGGAAUGGGAGUGAUACAGAAGGGGGACUAAUUGGAAGAACUGCUGCUGCUGGUGGUGGUGCUGGACUGUCUUGAAUCUGUGGCCUAACCGAGUUGAUAUUCUUCUGUUUAAUAUGGGAGCAACACACACACUAUGGCAUCUAUUGCACAGAAAAUCAUGAUCAGAUGGUGCCCUCCCUAUCAGAGUGGUGAUCACUGUCCUAUAUUUCUUUGAAAUCCUGGAUCUGUGUUUUGGUUUUACUCUCCAUGGACAAUUGAAACAGAGAAAGAAUUUGGGACCAUUCCUUGGCAUAUCUAAAAUAUUUAUGUCAUAUACAUGUAAUUGAAAUUAUACAAUUUGGGUUGGAUGAAAAUCUUAUCUUCAUGUUAAAACCCAUUAGCCUAGGUUAUUUUUCCUAAAAUCUAAUUAUAAAUCAAUUAACUUGUUAAUUAAUGCUUGGUGAAUCAAUUAAUAAAUUGUAUUCAAAAACUUGGAAUUAUUUUUUUCCACUAAUAAACUGAAAAUGUGUAUCUUCAAA